AUCAGGUGCAACAAAUGUACGUAUCUUUUUCAUACAGUUUCUUUCGUAUCAUUACGUAGAUUGUGGAUGACCGUCAAGAACACAGACGAUGAAGGUUGAAAGUGACGAUGAGAAACGUCUCAUUAUCACGUCAGAUUAGCAGAAAUACAAUUCACGUUGAUUUGAUAUUAAACAAUAGUAAAAUAUAAAUACUGAUUUAAUUCAUUCGUUAUGACUAUGUUAAUGCAAGGUUUGCGUUUAGCGUUAAACGUGCAAGAGCUAAACUGCCAUGGUUUACAUAACGAAAUUUAAGUACCCUUUCAAGAAACGGUCGUUAAAUCAUACGCGGUUAAUUAUACACAAGCAAGACACGAAUCCUCGUUCGGGUGAACGCGUUUGAAUGUGCCGCGCCAGAAAUCAGAACCCGAACAGCAUACACACACGUGUUCGGCAUAUGUAAUUGACGAAGGAAGGGAAGGGGGGAUAUCCCUUCGUAGUAAUUGAUUGUAAUAAAAAUAUGUGGCGCGUAGCUUUUUGUGCGCAAGUUUAUAAAUAAAUCGUUCGGUGAUCCUGUCUGGAGCGUUUUAUUAGUCUGACGCAUAAAUGCGUGCGAGCACGUUGUAGACAGACGGCCGCAUGCUGCUUUCACCCGUCGAAGGUUGCAUUCGUAAUUAGAGGGAGACGCGCUUUAUUCGCAAAUACUACUUACUAUUUGCUCCUUAAUUUCAGAUCCUUCAAUUUUCUAUACUUUUCCAGAAACAAGUUUAACAAGGUUACUUAUGUAUAAAAAAUAUAACAUGUAUCUCUGUUAUCUUAGAUCGUUCGGUAAUAAAAAGAGACUUGGUGGAGAUAGAACCGAAGGUUAAUGUUUUCACGGUGCGGCUAUCGCGCAUUAAAAUUCUUUUGAGAUCUCGAAGAGUCAUGCGAAUGACUAGGACAAACUUCUUCGGCUCCCUAAGUACAACGAGUCCAAGGCUGAUAUGCCGCAAUCUAACUUUCUGCUGAGGCUGCCUGUCCUCUUCGGUCUGGCACCGAUUGCUAAAUCUUCCGCGCUUCAUUUCUCCUCCAACGCAGUGUACCUCGCGAUAAAAGAGGUUUCAAUUGACUACUUGAAAUCUGACACAAGAAACAAUCAAACAGGAAAUAUUGGACGUAAGUUAAUAAAACAUGGCUUUAUUCGACAUUGUCGAGAGCGGAAGAUGUGAGAAAAAAAACGUUGAGAGCCCGUUUGUUGCACAGGACAAAGAACAUUCUUACGUAUGUAAGGUUUCUUUAUCUUUCAAAUAUUUUUACAUAUUUAAAUGCCUCAUCGCAUUAGUACCGCUGGCAUAACUGAUGAUUGUAUCAAUAUAUCAUCAUUGUUCAAAGAAAAAUAUCAAUUAUAUUGCUUCGUAUUUCAGUCGAUUAUCUCAUUUCUUUAUUUCUUUCUUUUUAUUGGAGACUUUGGACGUAAUUAUUAUCGCAUAAAUAAGUUUAUUAUCAAUAUUAAUCCUGAUGCUGUAAUUGAAUUUUCAAAAAAAGUAAUUCAAAUUUGGUCCAGUUUUUGUUAUUAAAAAAUUUCGAUAUUUUUAAAUAACAUUUAGUAAAAUAAUUUAAUAAAAAUUUUUAAGUCUUAAAAUAGCGUUAGUUUAGUUACUUUAACAGCUUCCAAAAAUCUGUAUAUUCCUACCGAUAAAUUAAGACGAAAAAUGUAAAUUCUUAAUUAUGUGAAUUUUCACCUAAAAUAAAUAUGUGUAAACAGAGUUAAUGUAAAAAGAAUAUGAACAGCGUUUCAGAAUUAAUAAUAUAAAUUUGCUUAUAAAUUUGCUCUGAAUUAAAAACGUGCAAUUUUGCAAAUGCACAUUUUUUAUUUAAAUCUUAGUAACUACUUAAAUUGUGAGGCAUAAUCUUACCUAAAUACUUGAAAGUUUCCCCAUCUUCGUUACUUCAGCCUGUUUAUCCAGAAUAGCAGUCAAAUGUCAUACGAUGUAGUUUGAAGCAUUAAUGAUCAUCAUUACGGGCUCUUCAAGCAGCCGGUCUACAAAUGGCCCCUUCUCACAAUUUGACACUCGCAAACAUCUGAAACGUCACCCAACUUCGAAGUUGGCCAAUACGCACGCAACCCUGAUCGCUCUGUAUGAUUGAUUUUGGAUCAUCCGGCUACCAUGUUACAUUAACUCACACACAGUCGUUCGCCCCGUACGAAAGUACACCGAUCGAUCUAUGCCGGAACGAAAUCUCGUCGGCGAUCUUUUGCGGCUGCAUCCAUCUCCCGAGACCUGUCGACUCUUGGUCGAUCGAUAACGAACCGUGCACCGUGUUUCCGUCCACGUCCUCGCGUCACCCGCCUCGACGUCCGAUAUACUUGCUCUCUCCUUCUCACGAGGGUUUGUGUUAAGGGUUUGAUCGCGGCGACGCGCGAGAUCGCGAUCGAUUCGAUCGAUCGAUCGUUCGGCGGAUAUAACGAAAUCGUGUCCGUCCUCGGCUUUGCAGGCACGUGGUGCGCGCCUCGUCGAGGGGGUUUUCCCUGUCGACGAGGUGGGGGACACUUCGACGAUUCCGCCGACGGUGGGCGAUCGAUCGAUCUCGAGCGCGAUCGACGCGGCUCUCUCCUCGUGCCGGGUGCCCCGAUCUGAUCGUGGGCACCGAACGUCUACGACUGCGGCUGAAAUCUCGAAACCACUCGCGGCGAGCGAGCGAGCGAGCGAGCGAGAGGGCAGGCGGACGAGCGACCGCGAGAGAGCGCACAGCGUUUGCGAGCACGACUUAUUGCUCUACGUGGGAUACGUGCGUAUCGUGUGCGUGUGCACGCUGAAUGUGUGCACGCGUGUAGUCACGCGUAAUCGGCAAGAGAGGGACGAUAUUUUGUUUUGCCGUGGGUGGCAGACUGGAUAAGAAGGACCUCGUUUCCUCCGCAGACUGCCGGAUGGCGACCGAUCGUCUUCCAAGAUUUGGUUGAUUCGGAUAAUUUGUAACAAUUUACAGAACUUGCGAAACUGAUAUAAUCACACAGGAUAAUCAUAACAAGAUACGUUAAUAGAUUCCUUUUUUUUUUUUGAAUAUUCAUUUACUUGUUUUAUCACUUGUAUCUUUUUCCUUUAUCUUUUUCAUCAAAAGAAAUUUAUAACGUCUUAUUUGCUAACAUUGUGCGAGAAUACGUUAGAACGUUAUUUCAUAAUGUCUUAUUCCAAUCUCUUUGUGCGUAAACCAUUUCGGACGACCUUCACUGAACAAGGAGAGCGAUGUCAAUUAUACCCUGGUCGUGCAUGUUAUAACGAAGGCGCCAUUCUUGGAUCUGAUUUACAUGUCAUUUUCCAUUUUCGCUUAAAUAUAAGUCUGUUAUCUUCAUCUGGAAAGACUGCGUUUAAAUGCGUAUAAUCACCGGCUUGCAAUUCAUGAGUGCGAAGCAGCGUGACAAUGAAAAUAAUUUCAUUCAAAAUAAAAAGUAUCAGAAGAGAGAUGGAAAAUGUAAUUCUACUCAAUAAAAUCAAACAAACAGGAUAUACAAAUUACUGUUCUUAAAUCAGAAAAAUUUUUGGAAAUUUUGGAAAACAAUUUUCUUCGUUUCUUUUUUAAUAUAAUGUUAACUAAAUAAUAGAAAAAAAUCAGUUUUCCUUAAUUUUAUUUUUCAGAAUAAUUAAGAACAGUAGAAUCUCAUUAUCACAAUUAUCCUUUUUUUCGUAGAAAAACAAAA
This 3652-nucleotide long non-coding RNA is filed under the name Monomorium pharaonis (pharaoh ant). RNAcentral describes it as "uncharacterized LOC118645234". The record is from RNAcentral. Lineage: Eukaryota; Metazoa; Arthropoda; Insecta; Hymenoptera; Formicidae.